RNAcentral lists this ribosomal RNA (347 nucleotides) under uncultured bacterium. RNAcentral describes it as "partial 16S ribosomal RNA". It matches the Rfam family "Bacterial small subunit ribosomal RNA", at positions 338 to 682 of the family's 1533-position model. The record is from RNAcentral.
CCUACGGGAGGCAGCAGUGAGGAAUAUUGGUCAAUGGACGAGAGUCUGAACCAGCCAAGUAGCGUGAAGGAUGACGGCCCUAUGGGUUGUAAACUUCUUUUAUAUGGGAAUAAAAUGGUCCACGUGAGGGAUUGUGUAUGGACCAGAGGAAUAAGGAUCGGCUAACUCCGUGCCAGCAGCCGCGGUAAUACGGAGGAUCCGAGCGUUAUCCGGAUUUAUUGGGGUGAAAGGGAGCGUAGGUGGAUUGUUCAGUCCGUUGUGAAAGUUUGCGGCUCAACCGUAAAAUUGCAGUUGAAACUGGCAUUCUUGAGUGCAGUAGAGGUGUGCGGAAUUCGUGUUGUAGCGGU